This 232-nucleotide ribosomal RNA is filed under the name uncultured bacterium. RNAcentral describes it as "partial 16S ribosomal RNA". It matches the Rfam family "Bacterial small subunit ribosomal RNA", at positions 99 to 334 of the family's 1533-position model. The record is from RNAcentral.
CGGACGGGUGAGUAAUGUCUGGGAAACUGCCUGAUGGAGGGGGGUAACUACUGGAAACGGUAGCUAAUACCGCAUAACGUCGCAAGACCAAAGAGGGGGACCUUCGGACCUCUUGCCAUCGGAUGUGCCCAGAUGGGAUUAGCUAGUAGGUGGGGUAAAGGCUCACCUAGGCGACGAUCCCUAGCUGGUCUGAGAGGAUGACCAGCCACACUGGAACUGAGACACGGUCCAG